This 421-nucleotide ribosomal RNA is filed under the name uncultured eukaryote. Its description in RNAcentral is "bacterial SSU rRNA". It matches the Rfam family "Eukaryotic small subunit ribosomal RNA", at positions 592 to 1018 of the family's 1831-position model. The record is from RNAcentral.
CAAUAGCGUAUAUUAAAGUUGUUGCGGUUAAAAAGCUCGUAGUUGGAUUUCUUCUCUUAUCAGCCGGUCCUCACUUCGUGAGAGUAUCUGGUCAGAUUUGAGAAUCCUCUUGAGGAACGUCGCUGCGCUUGAUUGCGUGGCACGGUAUUCAAGACUUUUACUUUGAGGAAAUUGGAGUGUUCACGGCAGGCAUUCGCCUUGUACACAUUAGCAUGGAAUAAUAAUAUAGGGCGUAAGUUCUAUCUUGUUGGUUUCUAGAACAUACGCAAUGAUUAAUAGGGACAAUUGGGGGCAUUCGUAUUAACGCGUCAGAGGUGGAAUUCUUAGAUUGCGUUACGACGAACUACUGCGAAAGCAUUUGCCAAGGAUGUUUUCAUUGAUCAAGAACGAAAGUAUGGGAUCGAAGACGAUCAGAUACCGU